UACGUAGGGUGCGAGCGUUAAUCGGAAUUACUGGGCGUAAAGCGUGCGCAGGCGGUUUUGUAAGCCGGAUGUGAAAUCCCCGGGCUUAACCUGGGAAUGGCAUUCGGGACUGCAAGGCUGGAGUGCGGCAGAGGAGACUGGAAUUCCUGGUGUAGCAGUGAAAUGCGUAGAUAUCAGGAGGAACACCGAUGGCGAAGGCAGCCCCCUGGGCUGACACUGACGCUCAGGCACGAAAGCGUGGGGAGCAAACAGG
Molecule: ribosomal RNA, 253 nt
Filed under: uncultured bacterium
Lineage: Bacteria
Description: partial 16S ribosomal RNA
Rfam family: Bacterial small subunit ribosomal RNA
Source: RNAcentral